AAUGAACGCUGGCGGCGCGCCUAAUACAUGCAAGUCGAGCGAGAAGACGUAGCAAUACGUUUGUAAAGCGGCGAACGGGUGAGGAAUACAUGGGUAACCUACCCUCGAGUGGGGAAUAACUAGCCGAAAGGUUAGCUAAUACCGCGUACGCUCCUUGGACUUCGGUUCAGGGAGGAAAGCGAUACCGUGGGUAUCGCGCUCUUGGUUGGGCUCAUGUCCUAUCAGCUUGUUGGGAGGUAACGGCUCACCAAGGCUUCGACGGGUAGCUGGUCUGAGAGGACGAUCAGCCACACUGGCACUGCGACACGGGCCAGACUCCUACGGGAGGCAGCAGUAAGGAAUAUUGCGCAAUGGGCGAAAGCCUGACGCAGCGACGCCGCGGUGGGGGA
This 389-nucleotide ribosomal RNA is filed under the name uncultured bacterium. Its description in RNAcentral is "bacterial SSU rRNA". It matches the Rfam family "Bacterial small subunit ribosomal RNA", at positions 29 to 408 of the family's 1533-position model. The record is from RNAcentral.